Molecule: ribosomal RNA, 253 nt
Filed under: uncultured bacterium
Lineage: Bacteria
Description: partial 16S ribosomal RNA
Rfam family: Bacterial small subunit ribosomal RNA
Source: RNAcentral
GACGAACCGUGCGAACGUUGUUCGGAAUCACUGGGCUUAAAGGGCGCGUAGGCGGGCUCACAAGUCAGGGGUGAAAUCCCACGGCUCAACCGUGGAAGUGCCUUUGAUACUGUGGGGCUUGAGGGAGGUAGGGGCGUGCGGAACUUCCGGUGGAGCGGUGAAAUGCGUAGAUAUCGGAAGGAACACCGGUGGCGAAAGCGGCGCGCUGGACCUCUACUGACGCUGAGGCGCGAAAGCCAGGGGAGCAAACGGG